This is a non-coding RNA of Onthophagus taurus, 421 nucleotides long. The record is from RefSeq and is a predicted model, not a curated record. Lineage: Eukaryota; Metazoa; Arthropoda; Insecta; Coleoptera; Scarabaeidae.
UAGUUUUUCUUAAAUUCUAGCAUUCAGAAACCAGAAAUAAGUUCGAAGUGUUCAAAAUAUAGAAUAACUUGAUAAUUGCAGAAGACUUGAAAAAGACAACCUGCUGAUUGCACAAACUAGAUACUGGUGGCAGAGGACUAGAUAUUAAGAAAGGAAGACUAGAUACUACUAUCAGAAGAUGUUAUGGUCACUCUAAUUUGAACUGCAUCAUAUUCCUUGGCAUUUCUAAAAUAGGAAUAAAUUUCGAGUUGAGCAGAAUUUAUGGUCACUCUAGUUUGAACUGUAACAUGUUCCUCAUGACCUCUAAAAUAGCAACAUUCAGAAACCAGAAAUAAGUUCGAAGUGUUCAAAAUAUAGAAUAACUUGGUGCGGAAUAACAACUAAAACUAGAAUUAGCUUAACAUAAUCACUAGAACUAACA